Long non-coding RNA from Maylandia zebra (zebra mbuna), 2307 nucleotides. RefSeq lists it as uncharacterized. The record is from RefSeq and is a predicted model, not a curated record. NCBI's taxonomy places the organism in Eukaryota, Metazoa, Chordata, Actinopteri, Cichliformes, Cichlidae.
UGCCCGCUCAUUACUUCGAAAGAAACUUGUGGAACGUUAAUAUCCAAACAGAAAUAAAAACAUUUGUGAAGGGUUUUUUUUUUGCGGCAUUGCCUUUGACGCUGGAUAAAGGAGGACGUGGUAUGGUAUGUUACGGACUUUUGAACUGGAACAGCUAACGCUCUGCACUUGGCUAGCUGCAUUUACCGCCUUUGCAGCAUCUUCAGGAGCGCUUUUGUGUCUGUCUUGUCUUCUGUGUUUUACUGUUAUGUCCAUGCCAGGGCAGAAGUAAAUUUUCAGGGGUGAAGAUGCUGUUUACCUUGACCAGCUAAGACUACAGAUUGUAGAUGAAGUCGAGAAAAGUGAAAAGAAUCCUGAUUACAAAGCUGAUGCACACAACUUUGGCCUUGCGAUGCAAAGAGAUCAUCAAUGAUGACCUACCAGUAGGUCAGAUCCUGGAUUGCUGGCCUACUCUGAAAUCCCAGUCCCAGAUCUGUGCAGAAUUGCACAGGAUUACAAACCUCCACCUGAAGAACCACUUUUAUGCUGUGUUGGACCAACAUUCUCCCCGGCUCCAGAGCUUAUUCAGAUAGAAAGCUGUUUGCACAGGGAACGUGUCUGAUGUCCUGUCUCAGCUCUUCAGAAGCUAAAAUCUCCAGGAACAAGCUGAUAUCCAUGCCCAACGUGCUGGUGUGCUUCAUGCCCUCUCUGCCUAUUUGUACGACGACACCUCUAGCUUCAUCAUAACGUGGGAUCUAAGUUUUGGACAAAGUUGUGAACAAUAUCUUAGUAGCAUCCUUGUUUAGAUUUCUCAAAACAUUAUGACACUUUGACAGUUUGAGAAGCAUCUCCAUGCUUGGAUCUGUCUACAACAGUGUCCAUGUCACAUAAUGGAAACACUACAUGUUUUUAAUAUGUGUAGACCUUCUAUAAUGUUCCUAGCCCAACCAUACAUCACUGUACAAAUGGAAAAAAAAACAAAAAAAAAAACUCUUAUUGACUUUCUGUUAUUGCUACGAAGAGGUAUGACUUUGCUUUACUAAAAAGUACUAUUUUUGUCAGUUUGUUUUCUCAAAUCUUUGGUGUGUUGUGGCUUUUUUGUUGUUCAAACAAUUGAUUUCUGAGCUAGUAAUAAUCCAGAAAUGUGACUUGUAUAGAUGAAACUAAGAGAAAUAGGAAUGUACUAACAUGUAGUAAUUUUGUUUUCUGUAGAUGAUGCAUUCUGAUAGACCAGAUAUUAGUGAAGUGCCACUUGGACUCCUGAUCAGAGCCAAUUCCAGCAAUGCAACAUUCUUCUGCCCUGAGAAGACUGCAGUUUUGGUCGAGGGUAACAUGAUCAUUGUUUUCACCACCCUAGCUGAUGGAUUUCUAGUAAUAUUUGGACUGACCUACGCCCUGCACCUAAGCUACCCAAAAUGUUUGGCCAACAUUUUUGACUUUAUUCAGAAAGUUUUGAUGGGUCUGAAGGGUGGGAAGUUGAAGCCCAAAGUGCUGAGUCUUAAAAAUGAUCUUUUGGCAGCAGAAUAAUGUCCAGGAUUCCUACACAGUCCUCAAGUGCCUGUUAAAGCAAGUAAUUCAGCUUAUCAUGUUUCAAAGUCUGGAUAAGUUUUUUUGUUUUGUUUUUUUAAAGAGAAUAGAAUAAAGAAAUCUUUGCACACUCUGUUUCAUACUUCAUCAUCUUAAAUCCACAUCCAAAGUAAAAGGGGUGAUUUUAUUUUAUUUAUUUAUUUAUUUUUUCCCCAUCAUCACUUGUUUUAGUUGAUUUUGAUUGUGUUUUUAGUAAGAUAACUGUAAAUCCAUAGAGAAAAUGAAGGACAAUCUCACUACAUUUCUGGCUUCUAGGUGGGAUCUUGAAUGUCACUUAAGGAACGUUCCUCCUGAACUGCUCAUAACUGACAUAAGGCGCUAAGGAGGUUUAUAACACUGUUUUAUGUCUCUAAAGAAGUAUUUUUCUAUUUAAUGUUUUAUUGCUUUGUUGUUGAGACUGUGAUUGCACUCUACAAAUGUGCAUUUUGCAUAACCAGAGUACUGGCAUAUUAAAAAGGUUACCAAUUAUAUUUCAGUGUAUUAUACUGCACUAUACUAUACUAUUACUUUCAUUUGGUUUUCCCACAUAAUAAUGCAGGAUUUUCUUUUCCUUUUGUUUGUUUGUUUUUUAAUAAAAAGGUCAUACUCGUGUGUUAAUCAAAUCUGAAUACUCUUAAAACAUGUUGUGAAAUUCUUUAUUUCUAAUAUUGUAACCUUGUGCCAAAACUGGACAUUUCUGACAUUAUUCCCUAUAAAAUGUGGUGGAUUUAUGUCGUUGGACUUUUUGUUAGAAAUGCUAUG